Chrysemys picta bellii (western painted turtle) is the source of this 71-nucleotide non-coding RNA. Lineage: Eukaryota; Metazoa; Chordata; Testudines; Emydidae. The record is from Ensembl.
GGACACGUGCCUGAAUUUAAAGGGUUACCUUGAUAGGGUGAAUAAUAGAGGCUAAAACCCUCUCGUCUCCU